Long non-coding RNA from Hydra vulgaris (swiftwater hydra), 541 nucleotides. RefSeq lists it as uncharacterized. NCBI's taxonomy places the organism in Eukaryota, Metazoa, Cnidaria, Hydrozoa, Anthoathecata, Hydridae. The record is from RefSeq and is a predicted model, not a curated record.
AUCAUAUUAAUUGAUAAUUUAUUGUUAAAGAGUAAAAAUGGUUAAAGUAAAAAAAAUCGACGAAAGUAAAAAAAAUAAAGUUAAACGACAAUUAUUUGUCAAACCUGUAGCUAUUGUUAAACCAUAUGUACCUGAGAAUAUAUAUAAAGCUUCUCAAAUCUAUGUUCCUCAAGUGGUUGAAACAAGAACAAUUGAGGAAACAGAUGAACAAAUGUACGAAGACUAGCUGGAAAUAUUUGAUGAUAUUCCAGAAAUAAACGAUGAACAAGUGCGUAUACUUGAUAGAAUAAUGAUGCGAAUAGACCGUCAUUUGGAUGAUAACAGAAUGAACAGAAACGAUCGCUAUUUUGCAACACCAAGACGUGUGUUAUGUUUAGGAUGUUGCCUGUGCAAUGAAGAGAGCGAGCACAAUCAUUGUUGUGCCCGUCCAAUGGUGCUGUUUCAGGAGGAAUAUCUUAUCGGAUCAAUCAAGCUGGAAAAUAAAAAAAAAACAUUUCUUUGUAUCAUUUUAAUUUAUUAAAUAUUGUAUUACAACCGUAUA